GACGCUGGCGGCAGGCCUAACACAUGCAAGUCGAGCCGCCUUCGGGCGAGCGGCGGACGGGUUAGUAACGCUUGGGAACGUGCCCAGAUCUACGGAAUAGCCACUGGAAACGGUGAGUAAUACCGUAUACGCCCUUCGGGGGAAAGAUUUAUCGGAUUUGGAUCGGCCCGCGUUAGAUUAGGUAGUUGGUGGGGUAGCGGCCUACCAAGCCUACGAUCUAUAGCUGGUUUUAGAGGAUGAUCAGCAACACUGGGACUGAGACACGGCCCAGACUCCUACGGGAGGCAGCAGUGGGGAAUCUUGGACAAUGGGGGCAACCCUGAUCCAGCCAUGCCGCGUGAGUGAAGAAGGCCCUAGGGGUCGUAAAACUCUUUCGCCUGUGAUGAUAAUGACAGUAGC
Molecule: ribosomal RNA, 399 nt
Filed under: uncultured Alphaproteobacteria bacterium
Lineage: Bacteria; Pseudomonadati; Pseudomonadota; Alphaproteobacteria
Description: bacterial SSU rRNA
Rfam family: Bacterial small subunit ribosomal RNA
Source: RNAcentral